UCCGGUUUGUCACCGGCAGUCAUUCUAGAGUGCCCACCCUUACGUGCUGGCAACUAAAAUCAAGGGUUGCGCUCGUUGCGGGACUUAACCCAACAUCUCACGACACGAGCUGACGACAACCAUGCACCACCUGUCUCCUCUGUCCCGAAGGCCUACGCAAUCUCUUCCGUAUUCAGAGGGAUGUCAAGACCUGGUAAGGUUCUUCGCGUUGCUUCGAAUUAAACCGCACGCUCCGCCGCUUGUGCGGGCCCCCGUCAAUUCCUUUGAGUUUUAGCCUUGCGGCCGUACUCCCCAGGCGGCCGACUUCCCGCGUUAGCUCCGGCACGGAGGGGGUCAAGUCCCCCCACGCCUAGUCGGCAUCGUUUGCUGCGUGGACUAC
Molecule: unclassified non-coding RNA, 379 nt
Filed under: uncultured Bacillota bacterium
Lineage: Bacteria; Bacillati; Bacillota
Description: uncultured Firmicutes bacterium contains 16S-23S intergenic spacer region
Source: RNAcentral